AACAAGCCGGCGCGAAAACAAGCAAAAUAAAACAAAGUAACCGGAAAAAAGCGCUUUGCCGUUCUUUUUCUGGACGAAACAUUUCGCUCAGGACUUUCCAUACACCACCACCGCCGCGUGUGCCUCUCCGGUCACUGAACCGGAUUGACAUGUUCGGUUGCAAAUUUGGAUUGUUCGAGAACGCGAUUCUCGGGCACACUUUCCAGCAGCCGAAUCGGUGGAGCGGACUGGACCUGGUUGACUAUCGGGUAUCGGACGGGCCUGUGCGUGGGGCUUAAGCUGUUUACGGUGAAUGAGGAAGCGAAUCGAAGGUGCGCUGGAAUGUGUUUCAAACCAAACAGGAGAGAGGGAGAGAGAUGGAGAGAGAGAAAGGUUGUAAAAAGGCAAGAAACGAAUCCGGUUUUGGGGCAGGUUCUAGCGUGAGAGAAAAACUUGUUUGUUUGCAAAAAAUUAUCGAGCGUUAUUUGUGCAGAAUUUUGGACCAACACCUGACGGAACUCGGAGACGAUCGCUUUCUUUGUGCCGUUUUAGCAGAAGCGGAAGAUUGCUGAAGUAAGGAGCACUUUAAGUUUGGUUGCUGCGUCCGGAAUUACCAAUUUCAUCACAUCAAGAUGAUGCUUUCAGCAACUGAAUGCGUUAUUCGUUCACAAUUUAUCCAAGAUGACCCAAGACACGCCAUAGCCUAAAAGCACGAUAAGGCAUAGCCAAAGCCAAAGGGGUCAGCGUUACAAUCAGAGCAUGUCGGUGAAGAUAGCAUACAUUAGCGGGCAAAGUUUUCACUUUCGUCUGCACUGGUGGAGCGACAUUGACAGUGAUCGUAUCGAGCGUCAAUGAUCUUCAACCUUCAAUUGCACGAGCCGUGCGGUGAUCACCGUCCAAGGGUGUGUGGCAUUAUGUUCAUGGGCAUCGAUUCGAGUGACGACACCAGCGAGUCCACCAGGCGAACUUGGGCUUACGAUUCGAACUUCUUUCGGGUGAAAGAUGAUUGUUCAAGAAGGCAUCGUCAGGGGCUGGUGGUGGUACGUUCAAUUAGUGGUUUGAAAAUUGAACACCGAAAAUAAACAGCACU
Molecule: long non-coding RNA, 1069 nt
Organism: Anopheles merus
Lineage: Eukaryota; Metazoa; Arthropoda; Insecta; Diptera; Culicidae
Exons: 3
Source: RefSeq, a predicted model, not a curated record